GAGGGUAUAGCUCAAGUGGUAGAGCACCUGCUUAGCAUGCAUGAGGUCCUAGGUUCAAUCCCCAGUACCCCCU
RNAcentral lists this transfer RNA (73 nucleotides) under Camelus bactrianus (Bactrian camel). It matches the Rfam family "tRNA". Rfam says of the family: Transfer RNA (tRNA) molecules are approximately 80 nucleotides in length. Their secondary structure includes four short double-helical elements and three loops (D, anti-codon, and T loops). Further hydrogen bonds mediate the characteristic L-shaped molecular structure. tRNAs have two regions of fundamental functional importance: the anti-codon, which is responsible for specific mRNA codon recognition, and the 3' end, to which the tRNAs corresponding amino acid is attached (by aminoacyl-tRNA synthetases). tRNAs cope with the degeneracy of the genetic code in two manners: having more than one tRNA (with a specific anti-codon) for a particular amino acid; and 'wobble' base-pairing, i.e. permitting non-standard base-pairing at the 3rd anti-codon position. Lineage: Eukaryota; Metazoa; Chordata; Mammalia; Artiodactyla; Camelidae. The record is from Rfam by way of RNAcentral. RNAcentral also lists the same sequence under 2 other names.